UCUUUCCGGAAUUGAGUGGCAAACGGGUGAGUAACACGUAAACAACCUGCCUUCAGGAUGGGGACAACAGACGGAAACGACUGCUAAUACCGAAUACGCUCAUGAUGAACGUUGUGAGGAAAGGUGGCCUCUGCUUGCAAGCUAUCGCAUAGAGAUGAGUCCGCGUCCCAUUAGCUCGUUGGUGGGGUAACGGCCUACCAAGGCAACGAUGGGUAGCCGAUCUGAGAGGAUGAUCGGCCACACUGGAACUGAAACACGGUCCAGACUCC
Molecule: ribosomal RNA, 269 nt
Filed under: uncultured bacterium
Lineage: Bacteria
Description: partial 16S ribosomal RNA
Rfam family: Bacterial small subunit ribosomal RNA
Source: RNAcentral